This is a non-coding RNA of Aedes aegypti (yellow fever mosquito), 82 nucleotides long. Lineage: Eukaryota; Metazoa; Arthropoda; Insecta; Diptera; Culicidae. The record is from Rfam.
GACGAGGUGGCCGAGUGGUUAAGGCGUUGGACUGCUAAUCCAAUGGGCUCUGCCCGCGUGGGUUCGAAUCCCAUCUUCGUCG